RNAcentral lists this ribosomal RNA (17 nucleotides) under Vibrio splendidus. RNAcentral's name for it is "partial 23S ribosomal RNA". The record is from RNAcentral. Lineage: Bacteria; Pseudomonadati; Pseudomonadota; Gammaproteobacteria; Vibrionales; Vibrionaceae.
GGUUAAGUGACUCACCG